RNAcentral lists this non-coding RNA (29 nucleotides) under Mus musculus (house mouse). The record is from RNAcentral. Lineage: Eukaryota; Metazoa; Chordata; Mammalia; Rodentia; Muridae.
UGGAAAUGCCUAAUAAGUCAAAGAAGAUG